CGGCUUUCCAAGUAUUAGAGAAUAAGUGCUUAACGUAAAGAUAUGCUUUUGAAAAUGAAUGACUCAAAUAUAGAGAUGUGGUGGCAAAUAUUUUUUGGCUUAUAAUUUUAUAGUUUUACUGUAAUUUUAAGGUAGUGGUGAAAGUAAACUCCCAUUUUGAAAAGUUUGUAAUUGCUAUAAUGAAAUAUAAAACAAAUUAUUAUUUAUUAGGUGGGAAAGGCACAGACCCUGCCAACAUUAUUGUAGUGUGUUGAUUCCAUUCAUAAUGGAAGGAAAUACAGUUUCAGUUCAUCAUUAGUAAAUGUUGUUUUUUUUUUUUUUUCCACCCAAAUUCAUGAACUCACUGAGUUCUGAUCCCUUAGAGUUUAGGUCUUGGUGAAAGAUCCCUGAACCAGGUAUUCUGUGACGUCCCUUCUGGAUUUGCCAUUUUAGGGCCACAUAAAAGCAAGUCCUCCAGACUGCUCAUGCAUUCCUGGACUAUCAGUGUGCCAAGACUCCCAUUCCCUUCUGAUCACCAGCAUCAACCUUCCCAGGUAUUUAAACACAAUUGUUUUUUAACAUUUUUUUGUUUGUUUUGUAAGUCAGAAUACAGAAAGAGAGGGAGAGGCAAAGAUCUUUCAUUUGCUGGUUCACUCCCAAGAUGGGCACAAUACCCAGGGCUGGGCCAGGCCAAACCCAGGAGCCACAAGCUUCUUCUGGUUCUCCCAUGUGGGUGCAGGGAGCCAAGUACUUGGGUCAUCUCCUGCUGCUUUCCCAGGCACAUUAGCAGGAAGCUGGAUUGGAAGUGGAGCAGCUGGGACAUGAACUGGCUUCCAGAUGGGAUGCCAGCAUCACAGGCAAUGUCUUAACCCACUGCACCACAAUGGUGGAGUUUGUAAUCAAUAGUAAGUCAGGUCUUGUGGCAUCCAAGUCCUGUCUCAAACUGUAGCAGAACUUAACAGCUGUAUGGUGCUCAGUAGUUGCUAAAAGGCCUGUGGAUAGUGGGUUACACCACUGCUUGUAACGCCUACAUCUCAUAUUGGGACACUAGUUUGAGUCCUUGCAGCUCCUCUUCCAAUCCAGUAUUCCUGCUAAUAUGCCCAGAAAGGCAGCAAGAGAUGGUCCAAGGGCUUGGGCCCUAGCUACCCACCUGAGAGACCCGGAUGGAGUUGCUGGCUCCUGGCUUUGGCCUGGCCCAGCCCUGGCUAUUGUGGCCAUUUGGGGAGUGAACCAACAGAUGGAAGAUCUCUCUGUGUCUCUGUCUCUCUUCCUGUGUUGUUUUCAAAUAAAUAAAUAAGUCUUUAAAAACUAAAAAAGGGC
RNAcentral lists this long non-coding RNA (1299 nucleotides) under Oryctolagus cuniculus (rabbit). RNAcentral's name for it is "lncRNA (ENSOCUG00000035970.1)". The record is from RNAcentral. Lineage: Eukaryota; Metazoa; Chordata; Mammalia; Lagomorpha; Leporidae.